Molecule: ribosomal RNA, 428 nt
Filed under: bacterium
Lineage: Bacteria
Description: partial 16S ribosomal RNA
Rfam family: Bacterial small subunit ribosomal RNA
Source: RNAcentral
UAGGGAAUCUUCGGCAAUGGGGGCAACCCUGACCGAGCAACGCCGCGUGAGUGAAGAAGGUUUUCGGAUCGUAAAGCUCUGUUGUAAGAGAAGAACGUGUGUGAGAGUGGAAAGUUCACACAGUGACGGUAACUUACCAGAAAGGGACGGCUAACUACGUGCCAGCAGCCGCGGUAAUACGUAGGUCCCGAGCGUUGUCCGGAUUAUUGGGCGUAAAGCGAGCGCAGGCGGUUUAAUAAGUCUGAAGUUAAAGGCAGUGGCUUAACCAUUGUUCGCUUUGGAAACUGUGAAACUUGAGUGCAGAAGGGGAGAGUGGAAUUCCAUGUGUAGAGGUGAAAUGCGUAGAUAUAUGGAGGAACACCGGUGGCGAAAGCGGCUCUCUGGUCUGUAACUGACGCUGAGGCUCGAAAGCGUGGGGAGCAAACAGG